Molecule: long non-coding RNA, 960 nt
Organism: Melopsittacus undulatus (budgerigar)
Lineage: Eukaryota; Metazoa; Chordata; Aves; Psittaciformes; Psittaculidae
Exons: 3
Source: RefSeq, a predicted model, not a curated record
UGCUGCGAUACUGAACCUCUUUCUCUUUAGGCUAAUCUGUUUAGCUUGAAUCCAUGUGGGUAACUAUGUGCAUGUUUAGCAGGUGGAUGGAGCUGAUUGAAGGAGAAAGCUGAGCAGCCCUGGAUACUGAGCUCUGAUUGGUGAGUCUAGAGCUCCAGUGUCCAUCCAGGCCAUUCCACCGGGGGAGCACUGGGAUCCGAAUUGGAGGGCAGCUCAUCUGAACAUGGGGACCAAACUUGUUUCAGAAGUGGCUCACCCUGCUCUCCAGUGUCCAUCCAGGCCAUUCCACCGGGGGAGCACUGGGAUCUGAAUUGGAGGGCAGUUCAUCUGAACAUGGGGACCAAACUUGUUUCAGAAGUGGCUCACCCUGCUGUAAGUGGCUACAAAAUGGUUUUUGCUUUAACUCUUUCUUGCCUGAAAUGUUGCCGGCUCCUACCCCCUUGUUCCCUAUCAGAGUUAGAGCCCUCCGGGAAGGUCACCGGUCUGCAGGUCCCCGUUCGGACGCCGCUCGUCGACGCAGGAGUCACAGAGAACGUGGAGACCAUCAACGGGAUCAAGCAAUGGCCAGAGUUUAUUAGAUACAGUGCUCUUCUUAUACCCUUACAGCCUUAUGUAACAGCCUUGGAUGGGAGGGACUACUGAUUUCUGUACUUGUAUGGCUUGUUUCUGUACCCCUAUGAUAUUUUCCUCCCUGAAUAUAACUUGUUAUAAUUGUUGUCUGAAUAAAAAAGAGAGGGUUGAGUUGGAUGGGAUGGACCAUUGAUUUUGUACUGGUUGUUUUUGUACCCCUAUGAUGUUUUCUUCCCUGGCUGUAAGUUGUUAUAAUUGUCUGAACUGAAAAAGGAGAGGGUUGGGGUGGAUGGGACUGACUAUUGAUCUUGUAUUGGUUGUUUCUGUACCCCUAUGAUGUUUUCCUCCCUGACUAAAACUUGCUAUAAUUGUUGGCUGAACUGAAAAAGG